UCCCUGAAAGAUGAUCAGGUUGAUAGGUCUGAGGUGGAAGUGUGGCGACACAUGGAGCUGACAGAUACUAAUCGAUCGAGGACUUAACCAU
RNAcentral lists this ribosomal RNA (91 nucleotides) under Bacillus subtilis. Its description in RNAcentral is "partial 23S ribosomal RNA". It matches the Rfam family "Bacterial large subunit ribosomal RNA", at positions 2834 to 2925 of the family's 2925-position model. The record is from RNAcentral. Lineage: Bacteria; Bacillati; Bacillota; Bacilli; Caryophanales; Bacillaceae.